UGCCAGCAGCCGCGGUAAAACGGAGGGGGUUAGCGUUGUUCGGAAUUACUGGGCGUAAAGCGCACGUAGGCGGAUUGGAAAGUUGGGGGUGAAAUCCCGGGGCUCAACCCUGGAACUGCCUUUAAUACUGCUAGUCUUGAGUUCGAGAGAGGUGAGUGGAAUUCCAAGUGUAGAGGUGAAAUUCGUAGAUAUUGGAAAGAAUACCAGUGGCGAAGGCGGCUCACUGGCUCGAUACUGACGCUGAGGUGCGAAAGUGUGGGGAGCAAACAGGAUUAGAUA
RNAcentral lists this ribosomal RNA (279 nucleotides) under uncultured bacterium. RNAcentral describes it as "partial 16S ribosomal RNA". It matches the Rfam family "Bacterial small subunit ribosomal RNA", at positions 506 to 784 of the family's 1533-position model. The record is from RNAcentral.